Molecule: ribosomal RNA, 217 nt
Filed under: uncultured bacterium
Lineage: Bacteria
Description: partial 16S ribosomal RNA
Rfam family: Bacterial small subunit ribosomal RNA
Source: RNAcentral
GAUGAACGCUAGCGGCAGGCCUAAUACAUGCAAGCUGAACGGCAAGAUUUGUAGCAAUACGAGUCCUAGAGUAGCGUAAGGGUGCGUAACACGUAUGCAAUCUGCCCGCAACAGGAGGAUAGCUUAGCGAAAGUUGAGAUAAGACUCCAUAAGAUCACGAGAGGGCAUCUGAUUGUGAUUAAACUACAAGGGGUUGCGGAUGAGCANGCGUCUGAUU